This 301-nucleotide long non-coding RNA is filed under the name Vigna radiata. Its description in RNAcentral is "long non-coding RNA (VRAD_LNC011937)". Lineage: Eukaryota; Viridiplantae; Streptophyta; Magnoliopsida; Fabales; Fabaceae. The record is from RNAcentral.
GGAAUAGAAAAUCACACGAGUAAUUUUUAUACUGGUUCGAUUCAACAGAAUCUACGUCCAGUCGUUAAUCACUAUAAAGAGUGAUUAACAGUUUCACUAACAAAAGGGUUUCUCAGAUUACAACAGUAAUGAAUAAAUGAUAAGAUUAAACCAUCCUUCGACGAACGAACCGGAAGAAGAACACUCUGCCAACUUGAAGAGAACUGCUCCGGCAAUCGACCAACGAUUCGCGAGCUUCUCUUAUUCAUGAGACCAGGCAGAGCACCUUACUAACUCGAAGAGAACCGCUCCGGCAAUCGAC